Molecule: long non-coding RNA, 17285 nt
Filed under: Triticum aestivum (bread wheat)
Lineage: Eukaryota; Viridiplantae; Streptophyta; Magnoliopsida; Poales; Poaceae
Description: long non-coding RNA (TAES_LNC004073)
Rfam family: MIR1120/MIR1122 microRNA precursor family (bases 1087-1220)
Source: RNAcentral
CGCGCCUCGUGUCCCGCCCGCUCCUCCCACGGGUUCGCGCCGCGAGCCCACCAGAUCCCGCCCAUACCACGAGCCACCCAGCCGGACCUCCAAACAUAGCCCACUGGUUUCCCCCGAGAAACCCCGGGCGGCAGCCGACGUGGCGGGCCCGCCCUAUCCGUAUUCAACAGCCACGUCACGCCCAUCCUCUCUCCAACGAACGAACUCCCAAAGCCCGCAUUCGCCCCAUAAAUACCCCGAGGAAGCCCAGAAUCCAGCAGAGCUACAUCCCAAUCCAAUCUGAUCCAAUCCAAGAUCGUCGUGCUCCUUCUGAAAAGUGUCGAUCGAAGCGGAUACUUAGCUAGCUAGGCGAUGGCCCCGAGCGCGUCGAUGCUGUUCCUGAGCUACCACCAGCUGCACCACGGCCCCGCCGACGCGCCGCACGUCGACAAGGAUGGCGCCGGCGCGGGCACCGGCGGCUUCAGGUUCGGCUUCGGUAAUGUCUUCUUCUCCCUCGGCGUCCUGGCGCCGAAGCGGCGGGAUGCGGCGGUGCACGACGGGAAGCAGAGGGCGCGUCAGGCCGGCGGCGAGGAGGAGGAGGAGGAGCCCGCGACGCUGGCGAGCAAGUUCGAUGAGGCCGUGCGGCUCAGCUGCUGGUCGUCCUGAAGCUUAUCUUAAUUUCCGCGUGCUCCUGUAGCUUCUGCCUCUUUGACUGUGCAAGCAUGUGCUGUGCCGAUCGUUGACAAUGGCAGGAUAUGUGUAGAUAAAAUGUGACUGUGCAUAUGAAUUUCCUUUCUUUCUUUCUGUGUGAAAUCCUGGGUGGUACUGUUUUCUGAAUUAUCCCGAUCAUAAGAUUUGCUACAUGAGCUCUCGAUGUCGUCGUGUCCUCGCGGUCAUAGCUUCUGAACUUGGAGCGUCCUUCCAGAGGAUAAUUUUCAAAUCCUAUCCUGAAUCGCCUAAACACCAUUCUGAACUGCUAAGUGGGUCUAUGAACUUGCAAAGUUUGUCCCUCGAACGGUGAAUUUGCGUAGUUUUCUUCACGCUCCUCGUCUCCUCGACAUGAUCUCGCCAUGGAUCGGCAUUGCCAAGAGAUCCGUAACACAUUUGAAAGUACCCCCUCCGUUUAGAAAUACUUGUCAUCAAAAUAGAUAAAAGGAGAUGUAUCCAGAUGUAUUUUAGUUCUAAAUACAUCUUUUUUGUCCAUUUUGAUGACAAGUAUUUUCGGACGGAGGGAGUACAAGAAAAUCAGUAGCAGUACGUUACGAUCUUAUCCCUCGACAUCUUUUUUUUUUUUGCUUAAGAUCCCUUGACAUGAUUCACAUUUUUUUCUUUUGAGGGGGACAUGGUUUACAGCUGUGGGCUGGCUACCAGUGCUGAAUCCGGCGGACAGGCGGAGGAUCCGGCCCACAGCUCUAACUGGGCCUCCACCAGAAUUCUGCCCCAAACUUUACUUAACCCCCCUGCCCCAACCGCCAUGAAGGGGAAAAAGAACUCGACACCCCCAACCUCUGACCAAUGGAGAAGUAAAGUGGGGCAAAAGAUCCAAUUUCUCCCGUGCUGCUUCCCCCGGCGUUCGCUGCCCCUUCCGACCAGCCGGCGCAUCACGCACGGCACGCCAUGAAGGUGAGUGAUCAGCCGAAGCUCUCCUGCCCUCCGUUUCUCUAUAUGCAGCCGUAUGUGCUCCGCGCACUGGUCAAUAGGUUCACGGUUCGGGGAGUUUCUGUGGCGUGCCGGCCACGUGCUCGACGUAAUGCCUCGCCGGGUUUCCCGUGCAGAUCGCGGUGGAGGGAUGCAUGCACGGUGAGCUGGACAAGGUCUACGACACGAUGCAGCGGCUCGAGGCGGCCGAGGGCAUCAAGAUCGACCUCCUCAUCUGCUGCGGCGACUUCCAGGUGCGUUCAGGCUGCAGUCCCCUCUGCCCACGCUCCUUCACUGGAGCUGGAGUUAUUUUUCCCCCUUGAAUACAUUGCGAGGUUACAUUUUGGCUCGACGUUGGUGUAUGCUGUUUUGCAUCAUGUCGUGCACGCACCUGCUUGGGACAUGGGAUCUGUCUGGUUCACGAUGGCCUAGCUGCUGGCUGGUUGUUUGUUUGAACCUAAUAUCUGUUACUCGUUGGAAUAGAUAGUUGAUCUGGCUAGGGUAUCACAGCAUUUUCUAAGUCUACCACACGCUUCCCUUGAAUUGAAUGCUGCAAUAUUUGUCUUACUGGGUCUGGUCGUGCCGGGUACUUUCUUACGGAAAUAGGUUUAUCUUAUUGUCCUUAAGAAGGUCAUAUCUGGCUCCGUUCUAUGUAGCAUGGACAAGUUGAUUAUUCACAUGGUUAUAGUUUAUUGUUCGGUAGUAAAAAAAAUUUGAGAACCGUUCGGUAUUAAUUCUAUGUACGUGUUGAUAUAUUUCACAUUCUGACAUUGCACCUUUACAUGCAGGCUGUAAGGAAUGAGAGUGAUUUACAGUGUGUAAACGUCCCACCAAAGUUUCGUACCAUGAACUCGUUUUGGAAGUACUACUCUGGGCAAGCAGUUGCCCCAUACCCAACUAUCUUCAUCGGCGGGAAUCAUGAAGCAGCCAAUUAUUUGUGGGAACUGUGAGUCUUUGUCACUUAUGCCCGACACAACUUUCAAAAGACCAAUCAGUGGUUUAAUUUAGCUCUGGGAUCUUAUUCUAUAGUUUCACUUUGGAGGAAAAUAACUAGAAUUUGCAUAUAAAAAAUUGGGAAAGAUUGAAGCACAGUAAUCUGAAAAUUCCCAUGAUAUUUACUCAAAUUUUCAAUUAAAAAAAAUCCUAACCGGGACAAGGAUGAUCUAUGUAUGGAAGUGUGUUGUCCAAUAGCCACAUAUAUACUCCUGGCAUGGUGGUCCCUGUAAUUAUUCAUAGAAACUUCGGGAUGUAAAUAAAUAGAAUUAAAGGGAGAUAGGCAUUGUUUUGAAUCUAAGGCUCUCUCUGGUUUUGAACUAAUAUCUGCUUAAGAGUUAUUAACAAGACGAUCAACAGCUUUCAGCCAUUGGAUACGUUAAUUUACUCAAUAUAGUUGAGUAUUGUUGUUAAAUGAUGAGGUGUUGUUUUGCUAAUUGAAAAAUGCAAUGCCUGCUUUUCUAAUCGUGGUGUAAUCACUAUCAGGUACUAUGGAGGAUGGGCAGCACCUAACAUCUACUUCUUGGGGUUUGCUGGUGUUGUUAAGUUUGGAAAUAUUCGAAUUGGUGGAAUGUCAGGAAUACAUAAGCAACAUGAUUAUCACCGAGGCAAGUUUAUUAAUAUCUUGCUUGGAUUACUUUGUAGUUCGGAGAUUUGUAUUUUUUUAAAUUGCAUCUAGAAGUUACUGUCUAGGGAGUUGAAGCCUAUUGAAGAAGGGUCCUAAACUAGGACGGUAAAUGUCAUUACACCCUGAACAGAGCAUUCAGAAUUAUUAUUGCCAAUCUAUGCAGGACAUCAUGAGAGGCCUCCAUACGAUAAUGCUACUAUACGAUCAGUGUACCAUGUAAGGCAUUACGAUGUUCUCAAGCUAAUGCAUGUGAAGGAGCCUCUAGAUAUAUUCAUGUCACAUGACUGGCCUCUGGGCAUUACUGAAUAUGGAAACUGGGAGAGGCUCCUUCGAGAAAAACCGUUCUUCACAGAAGAGGUAAUACCAAGUUGCAAACUGACAUAAGGGAUUAUUUUGUGUUCCACAUUUGUUAUGUCCGCGUAGUACACAGCCCACCCAGCGCCAAGUUAGGGGGAAGAUUGCCAUGAUUUAUUAAUUAGGUAGCUUAUCCUUUAAAUUAAGAUCUAUUUUAGCUUGGGCCUUAAGCCAACUAGACAUAAGAUCUACGAUUUGUUCUUAGAUUGGAUUCUUAGUCCUCUAUAAGGGGAACCCUCUGAGGAAUAAAGCCAAGCCAGAAUUAGAAGAGUGGUUCUUCUAUCUUGCCCCUGGAGUGAGAGCCUUCCCUCCUAUCUACCUAGACCUUAUAUACUAUGCAACAUAUUCAAGCCAUGGCAACACUCUUCUCUCUAUAACAUAUAUGCCUUCCGCAACUCAUCUAACCUUGUGGAAAUACCUCAAGGGAGUGUGUUAACUUUAUUGUGCCACAGUGUCACAUUUUGAGUCAAAAAACCAAUGAAUAAUACAAUAAAUAAGCGAGGCCACAUUUUUCAUGAUGAUUACUGCAGCGAAACAGUUUCCAAUGCUGUACCAGCAUCUGUGAUCAGCUAAGGAUUUUUUUCUUUUAUUUUGCUAAUUAAUCUUGUCAAGUUACACUAGAUAAACCCUUGUAUAGCUAAAAAUGCUAGGGUUAUUCUUACAUUGUUAGUCGGUGGCACCUAUGGGCAACAAAAGUAUGCCUAUUUGGAAAACUAAUCCCUAUGGCAUCAAAUUUUGUAUGGUGAGUUGAUGACUACUGUGGUCUGACAUGCAGAGUGUUUGAUUCAGACUACUUUCUCAGAAACGGAAUGCUUCAUGCUUCCCUAACACACUCCCUCCGUCUCAAAAUAUAAAACGCUAUUACAUCCAAUAUACUCACAUAUUGGAUGUAAUAACGUCUUAUAUUUGGGACAGAGGGAGUAUCAUACUAUUGUUGAUGUUCUUUUCUCUUGCCAUUUCAGGUCCACCAGAGAAAACUAGGCAGCGAAUCUGCAGCAAAAUUGUUGAACAAAUUAAAACCACCGUACUGGUUUUCAGCUCAUCUUCAUUGUAGGUUUCCAGCUAUCAUUCAACAUGGUGAGGAUGGACCUACGACUAAGUUCCUUGCACUCGAUAAGUGCCUCCCCGGGCGGAAUUUUUUGCAGGUACUCUUAUCUCCUCUUUCACGCUCAUUUUGACCACCACAAAUAAAUUUCUUGUACACAUUUGUUCUAAGAUGUCAAUCCAUUUUAGGUAAUAGACAUUCCAUCCAAUCCAGGACCAUAUGAAAUCCAGUAUGAUGAAGAAUGGCUUGCAAUAACACGGAGAUUCAAUAGUGCUUUCCCCUUAACUCGGAUGCCAUGUACAAUUCGGUUGGUGCAUAAAAUGUCUUUAUUUGUUUGUUAUCGUGUAAUGAAUAUUCUGAAAAUAUUCAAUAAAUGACAAAGCUGGAGUAAUUCAAUUGGCUUGUCUACAGGAACGAAGAACUUGACAUUCAAGAUGACCGGCAGUGGGUUAGGAGCAAGUUGAAUGCUAGAGGGGCUAAGACAUUUGAUUUUGUCCAGACUGCUCCACCUUAUGAUCCGUCCAGGCCAGUUUAUAAUCCCCCCAUAGCAGGUAAACCUUAAUAGUCAUGUCUUCACUGUGAGCCAUAAAUAUUAUGGAUUCUACCGUCGAAAUGUUUCUUGAUCUUGAGCUACCGUACAGUUUUCCUUUAGUACCACAAUUUCAUCUUAUGUCACAGUUCAUUGCUUUCAUUCUAGUUGUUUUUUGUAUUUAAAGUAUCACAAACUAGUAUCUGAUUCUAAGCAUUUGAAUGUAUGCUCUUUCUUUGUCAAACUUCUGACGUGUGCUUUAAAUGGUUCUUGUGCUACACAGUUCCUUGCAGAAACCCACAAACUGAAUCAUUUCUCCAGUUUUUAGAGCUCCCAUAUCUGCUGGACUCGUCUAAUCCUGGCGGUAUGUUUCUCGCUCUCUGAUAAAAGCUUAUGGCUGUAGCUCAGUCUCUCGUGUGUUAAUAUUUAAACUCUGAGUUUCAUGCAUGCCAAGCCAGACCUAGUCAGUUUGCACUUCAUGAAUACUCCCUCCGUCCCAAAAUAAGUGUCUCAAGCUUAGUACAAUUUUACACUAAAGUUAAUACAAAGUUGAGACACUUAUUUUGAGACGGAGGGAGUAGUACUUUGGUUUACGCUCACUCAAACUAUUUUUGUUACCAAAAGAAGAACAGUUGUUCUGCGUGGUUAUACUUUGUGAUGACUUGUGGUUACUCAUCUUUUGGUCAACAGGUGUUGAUAUAAAUGUAUCGAGCUCUCAGGCAGCACCUGCACUAGACAACGACGACAUAGAGCUCCCCGAUGAAGUUGAAGACGACGAAGUUGAUGAGGAGUGAAGCACUUAAAGUAGUUCUGUUGUAUUAUCCCUGGGUCCAGGGUUUUGUUGCCAUAUCUUGAUGGAUGUCAUUACCUCUGUAGAGCUUAACUGCAGAAGGAAAACUAACUUGUAGACCGUAGUACCGUACAGUAACCUUGCUUGAUUACGAGGUGUAACAGGAGUUAUAUGCUAGCACAAGAAUUUUUUAGAGAUAACAACAACAACAAAGCCUUUAGUCCCAAACAAGUUGGGUAGGCUAGAGGUAAAACCCAUAAGAUCUUGCGACCAACUCAUGGCUCUGGCACAUGGAUAGCAAGCUUCCACGUAUCCCUGUCUAUAGCUAGUUCUUUGGUGAUACUCCAAUCCUUCAGGUCUCUCUUAACGGACUCCUCCCAUGUCAAAUUCGGUCUACCUCGAUCUCUCUUGACAUUCUCCGCACGUUGUAGCUGUAUGCUAUGCAUUGCAGCUUCUGGAGGUCUGCACUGAAUAUGCCCAAACUAUCUCAGACGAUGUUGGACAAACUUUUCUUUGAUUGGUGCUACCCCAAGUCUAUCUCGUAUAUCAUCAUUCCAGACUCUAUCCUUCCUCGUGUGGCCACACAUCCAUCUCAACAUACGCAUCUCCGCCACACCUAACUGUUGAACAUGCCACCUUUUAGUUGGCAACACUCAGCGCCAUACAACAUCGCGGGUCGAACAACAGUCCUGUAGAACUUGCCUUUUAGCUUUUGUGUCACUCUCUUGUCACAGAGAAUGCCAGAAGCUUGGCGCCACUUCAUCCAUCUGGCUUUGAUUCGAUGGUUCACAUCUUUAUCAAUACCACCAUUCUCCUGCAGCAUUGACCCCAAAUAUCGAAAGGUGUCCUUCUGAGGUACCACCUGCCCAUCAAGGCUAACCUCCUCCUCCUCCUCCUCCUCCUCACACCUAGUAGUACUGAAACCACACAUCAUGUACUCGGUUUUAGUUCUACUAAGCCUAAACCCUUUCGAUUCCAAGGUUUGUCUCCAUAACUCUAACUUCCUAUUUACCCCCGUCCGACUAUCGUCAACUAGCACCACAUCAUCCGGAAAGAGCAUACACCAUGGGAUUCUCCUUGUAUAUCCCUUGUGACCUCAUCCAUCACCAAGGCAAAAAGAUAAGGGCUCAAAGCUGACCCCUGAUGCAGUCCUAUCUUAAUCGGGAAGUCAUCAGUGUCGACAUCACUUGUUCGAACACUUGUCACAACAUUAUCAUACAUGUCCUUCAUGAGGGUAAUGUACUUUGCUGGGACUUUGUGUUUCUCCAAGGCCCACCACAUGACAUUCCGCGGUAUCUUAUCACAGGCCUUCUCCAAGUCAAUGAACACCAUAUGCAAGUCCUUCUUUUGCUCCCUGUAUCUCUCCAUAAGUUGUCGUACCAAGAAAAUGGCUUCCAUGGUCGACCUCCCAGACAUGAAACCAAACUGAUUUUUGGUCACGCUUGUCAUUCUUCUUAAGCGGUGCUCAAUGACUCUCUCCCAUAGCUUCAUUGUAUGGCUCAUCAGCUUAAUUCCACGGUAAUUAGUACAACUCUGAACAUCCCCUUUGUUCUUGAAGAUUGGUACUAAUAUACUCUGUCUCCAUUCUUCUGGCAUCUUGUUUGCCUGAAAAAUGAGGUUGAAAAGCUUGGUUAGCCAUACUAUUGCUAUGUCCCCGAGGCCUUUCCACACCUCAAUAGGGAUACAAUCAGGGCCCAUCACCUUGCCUCCUUACAUCCUUUUUAAAGCCUCCUUGACCUCAGACUCCUGGAUUCGCCGCACAAAACGCAUGCUGGUCUCAUCAAAGGAGUCGUCCAGUUUAAUGGUAGAACUCAUUCUCCCCAUUGAACAACUUGUCGAAGUAUUCCCGCCAUCUAUGCUUAAUCUCAUCGUCCUUCACCAAGACUCGGUCUGCUCUGUCCUUGAUGCAUUUGACUUGGCCAAUAUCCUCGUCUUCCUCUCUCAGAUCUUGGCCAUCUUAUAGAUGUCCCUUUCGCCUUCCUUCGUGCCUAAUCAUUGGUAGAGGUCCUCAUAUGCCCGACCCCUUGCUUCACUGACAGCUCGCUUUGCAUUCUUCUUCGCCAUCUUGUACUAUCUAUGUUGUCUGCACUCCUAUGUUGUCUCAACAUAGCCGGUCCCAAGCCCGGGUAAAGGAGGAGGGUUGUGAUAGGCUUGGCGAGCCAACGUCAAAACUCAGCCACUCUUAUGGAGAUGAAACCCAAAAGAUUUUUAGAGAUAUUAUGCACACGGGGUAAAAACUCAGCCACUCUUGUUUCUCACUUGUUCUGAUAUAUAUAUAUAUAUAUAUAUAUAUAUAACAAUGAUUAAUUUUAUUAAUCAAGUGAGGAGAUUGCUAUAGAUUGAAUAAACCCAAACAAAACGAAGAACAUCCACAAACUCAAGAGUUACAUAAAAGCAUUUGAAAUCACCAAAGUUCUGCUAAACACAUGUUGAUAGCCUAUGCACACGGUAAAAACCUAUAGGAAAGCAUAUACUUGGCUAAACUCAAAAGUUUCGAAUAGCAGCAUGAGCCCAACACAAGGAGUAAAAUCUUAGAGCAUCUACAGCCGGGAGUCUCAAACCAGCCUCAUACGCCCAACUCAAAAGUUUUGAAUAGCAGCAUGAGCCCAACACAAGGGGUAAAAUCUUAGAGCAUCUACAAUCAGACGCCUCAAACCCGCCUCAUACGCCCGGGCGGGCCGUCCGGUCACUGACAGGUCACGAUUUUUCGAACGAGACGGGCUCCUUAAAUGGGCCUCAAACGCCUGGGCUGACCGGCACCCCUCAUAUCCAACCCAAAUAUGGGGCGGAUAUAGGGGCGCCCGGGCACGCUGAAAGUGCAACUAAUCCCCGGGUGGUUUUGGUAAUUCAUAACAACAUAUAGCUCAUUGGACUAAUAUCCAUUCAAGUUGAAUAUUUCAGAAAGUUCAAUGAUUGGCAUGGCAUGGACUAGUAGAAAUGUGGACCCCUUAAAAUGCUAAGGACAAAGAUUGGCAAAAGCUCAAGACUCUUCAUUUCUAUUUUAGCGAUCCAAGAUCACAUUGAGUCCAUAGGAAAGCCAAUACUAUUAAAAGGGGAUGAGGUGUUUCUUAAUGGUCUACUUGCUCAAACUGCUUAGUGAUAUUGCUCCGAAACCCUCAGCCACUUUCUCAUUUCCACAUAUGUCCAAAACUCAAAGUCAACUCGGCCCCACCGAUUUGAUCUAUCCGGCGCCACCGAGUUCAGUUGACAUAGCCACUGCCAGAAACCCUAGACAAUUCGGUCACACCGAUACGGAUCUCGGUCUCACCGAGAUGGCCUUGCAAACUCUCUGUUGCCUGUUGCAAUUAUUUUGGUCUUACCAAAAUGUGCAAUCGGUCCCACCUAGUUUGCUUGACCAACUCUCUGUUUGCUCGUUGUUGAAAUCGGUCUCACCGAGAUGAGGUUUUGCCCUAGCCCUAGCACAUCGGUCCCACCGAGUUGUUCCAGUCGGUCCCACCGAGAUUCCUAACGUUCACAUUUUGAACUAAAUCGGUCUCACCGAGUUCUUCUAUUCGGUCUGACCGAGUUGGGUCAAAUGUGUGUAAUGGUUAGAUUUUGUGCGGAGGCUAUAUAUACCCCUCCACCCCUUCUCCAUUUGUGAGAGAGCCAUCAGAACAUGCCUACACUUCCACUACUCAUUUUCUGAGAGAGAACCACCUACUCAUGUGUUGAGACAAAGACAUUCCAAUCCAACCAUAAGAAUCUUGAUCUCUAGCCUUCCCCAAGUUGCUUUCCACUCAAAUCAUCUUUCCACCAUAGCCAAAUCUGUGUGAGAGAGUUGAGUGUUGGGCAGACUAUCAUUUGAAGCACAAGAGCAAGGAGUUCAUCAUCAACACACCAUCUAUUACCUUUUGGAGAGUGGUGUCCCCAAGAUUGGUUAGGUGCGCUUGGGAGCCUCCGACAUGUUGUGGAGUUGAACCAAGAAGUUUGUGAGGGCAAGGAGAUCGCCUACUUCAUGAAGAUCUACCCGAGUGAGGCAAGUCCUUCAUGGGCGAUGGCCAUGGUGGGAUAGACAAGGUUGCUUCUUCAUGGACCCUUCGUGGGUGGCGCCCUCUGUGGACUCGCGCAACCGUUACCCUUCGUGGGUUGAAGUCUCCAUCAACGUGGACGCACAAUAGCACCACCUAUCGGAACCACGCAAAAAAUCUCCGUGUCUACAUUGCGUUUGCCUUCUCCAAACCCUUCCUUUACCUUCAUAUGCAAUAUUUUACCUUCUGCUGCUGCUCAGGGAGUCCUAGAUUAGGGGGUCCUCGGGUGUCCAUGCUAUUUGAUAUGGGCCGGACUGAUGGGCCGUGAAGAUAUAAGCAGAAGACUUUCCCCCUGUGUCCGGGUAGGACUCCCCUAUGCGUGGAUGGCAAGAUUGGUGUUCGAAUAUGUUAUUUCUUUCCCUUACAAAACGACUAUGUACAACCCUAGGUCCCUCCGGUGUGUAUAUAAACCGGAGGGUUUAGUCCAUAGAGGCUAUCAGAAUUCUCAUAGGCUAGACAGCUAGGGUUUAUCCAUUACGAUCUCGAGGUAGAUCAACUCUUGUAACCCCUAUACUCAUCGAAUAUAUUCAAGCAGGAAGUAGGGCUUUACCUCCUUUAAGAAGGCCUGAACCUGGGUAAACAUUGUGUCCCCUUUGUCUCCUAUUACCAUUGAUCCCCAGACGCACAGUUCGGGACCCCUACCCGAGAUCUGCCGGUUUUGGCACCGACAGCUGCACUCUUAGAAUUGCAUGUGUAGGUUGAUUGCUUGACAUGUAUUUGUUGCUAAAAUCUGCCAACACUUAAAAUUGGGAAAAUGUUAGAUUUUUAUUUGGUCAAGUAGUGUAAUCACCCCCCUCUAGACCUACUUUCGAUCCUACAAGUGGUAUCAGAGCUUUGGUCUCCAUUUGCCUUGAUUCCAUGCAUUAGUGAUCAUAGCCUUGGUUUCACAACCUAGGAGAGUAUGUCGUCUAGUGAGGGAAAUUACCACCAUAGAGGUCCUUACUUUGAUGGUACUAAUUUUGCUAGUUGGAAGCAUAUGAUGAAAAUGCAUAUUCUUGGUCAUAACCCCGCCGUUUGGGCUAUUGUGCGUAUUGGCUUGCAAGGUGAAUACUUCGAGGAUGUAAGAGAACCGGAUCGUGAAGCGACCGCGGAAGAAUUGAAGAUGUUGCAAUACAAUGCUCAAGCCUGCGAUAUUCUUUUCAACGAUUGUGCCCCAAAGAAUUGAACAAAAUCAGCCGUCUUGAGAAUGCAAAGGAAAUUUGGGAUACUUUGGUUGAUAUGCACGAAGCUACCGAAUCCGUCAAGCAAUCCAAAUUGGAUGUGCUUCAAAGUCAACUUGACAAGUUCAAAAUGAAGGAUGGUGAAGGAGUCGCUGAAAUGUACUCUAGGCUUGCUCUCAUCACAAAUGAGAUUGUCGGCCUAGGAAGCGAGGAGAUGACCGACAAGUUCAUCAUCAAGCAGACCCUAAGAGCCUUGGAUGGAAAAUAUGAUACCGUGUGCACUUUUAUCCAAAUGAUGCCCAACUACAAAGAUCUCAAGCCAACAGAAGUCAUUGGUAGAAUUGUUGCUCAUGAGAUGUCAGUCAAGGAUAAGGAAGAGCUCCACAACUAGUCAAGUGGUGCUUAUAAAGCUUCAUGUGACGCUCCUACAACAUCAAGUGAGAAACAAGUCUUCAAUGAAUAAUUGAGCUUAAUGGUGAAGAACUUCAACAAAUUCUACAACAAUAGAAGCAAAGAGAGAAGUUCCAAGUCAAGGUCCUACAAUGACAAAAUAUCUUCUAGUCGUGAUCGCAAUUGCUACAAUUGUGGAAGACCUGGACACUACUCCAAUGAGUGUACGGCUCCCUACAAAAAGAGAAGAAGUAAAAGAGAAGAGUCACCACCAAGAGAGAGAAGGAGUAGAGAUGAUCGUUAUGAACGAAGACACUCUCGAAGAAGCAAGGAUUUGGAAAGGAAGGACGAGUCAUCAAAGAACUACACAAGACGAAGACAUCAAGCUCAUGUUGGUGAAUGGGUAUCCGAUUCCGACUGCGACAACUACUCCGAGAGAAGCUAUCACUCUGACUCCGAAUAUGCUUCAUGGCUAAAGGCCCUAAGGUAUCACACCCCGAGUAUGUUGAUUUCAAUAGUGAUGAAGAUGAUUUUCUAGGUGAUGAUGAUUUGCUUGUUGACAACACUAGUGAUGAAAACUAUGAUGAAAUUGCUAUUAAUCAUGCUAAUGAAGAUGAAAUGAAUGACAAUGAUAAGAAGGAGAUUGAGCGUCUAACUAAAGAACUAAACACUCUUAAGUUAGCUCAUGAAACUACUUUAGAGGAUCAUCGAGAGCUUUUAAAGACUCAUGAGAAGCUACGCUUCGAGAAGCUCAACUUAGAGCAAGAACAUGGGUUCUGAAAAGCAAUCAAUGAUGAUCUUCGAAAGAAAAGUUCUUCUUACAUUGCCAAGCAUUUACUCUUGUCUACUUAUAUUCCACAAGUAAAAUCUAGCAACAAGAGCAAGAAAGAUUCUUCUCCUAGUAGUAACAAUAAUCAUGUUAGAUCCAAUAUUGUUGCUUCUAGUAGUUCUCUUGAUUCCACUAAUGUUUCUCUUAGCCAAGUUAAACUUGAGCAAGAAAAUAGCUUCUUGAAGGGAAUUAUAGAGAAAGGUGUUUACAAGAGCCUUUCCGAAAGUAAGCAAUUUGAGGAAAUUGUACAGAAGCAAGGAAGGCACCGGAAGAAUCAAGGUGCUAUUUUUUAACGAAAGUUCAAUGCCAAUGGAGUUGAGUGGGAAGAAGAUCAAUACCCCAAGAUGAAGUUUGUUCCUUAACAAGAGAAGUAUGACCUGAUACGUCUCCAACGUAUCUAUAAUUUUUUGAUUGUUCCAUGCUAUUAUAUUAUCUAUUUUGGAUGAUUUAUAUGCAUUAAUAUGCUAUUUUGUAUUAUUUUCGGGACUAAACUAUUAACCUAGAGCCCAGUGCCAGUUUCUGUUUUUUUCUUGUUUUUGAGUUUCGCAGAAAAGGAAUACCAAAUGGAGUCCAAACGGAAUAAAACCUUCGCGAUGUUUUUUCUUGGACCAGAAGACAUCGAGGAGACUUGGAGAUCAAAUUGGAAGAGCCACGAGGCGGCCAUAAGGGGGUAGGGCGCGCCCCCUGCCUUGUGGGCCCCCAGUGACUCCACGACCUACUUCUUCGUCCUAUAUAUUCACAUAUAUUCCCAAACCCUCAGAGGCAUCCACGAAAACACUUUUCCGCUGCCGCAACCUUUUGUACCCGUGAGAUCCCAUCUUGGGGCCUUUUCCGCCGUCUUGCCGGAGGGGGAUUCGAUCACGGAGGGUUUCUACAUCAACUCUAUUGCCCUUCCGAUGAAGCGUGAGUAGUUUACCUCAGACCUACGGGUCCAUAUCUAGUAGCUAGAUGGCUUCUUCUCUCUCUUUGAUUCUCAAUACCAUGUUCUCCUCGAUGUUCUUGGAGAUCUAUCCGAUGUAAUCUUCUUUUGUGAUGUGUUUGUCGAGAUCCGAUGAAUUGUGGAUUUAUGAUGAGCUUAUCUAUGACUAUUAUUUGAAUCUCCUCUGAAUUCUUAUAUGCAUGAUUUGAUAUCUUUGUAAUUCUCUUCGAACUAUCGGUUUGGUUUGGCCAACUAGAUUGGUUUUUCUUGCAAUGGGAGAAGUGCUUAGCUUUGGGUUCAAUCUUGCGGUGUCCUUUCCCAGUGAGAGUAGGGGCAGCAAGGCAAGUAUUGUAUUGUUGCCAUCGAGGAUAAAAAGAUGGGGUUUACAUCAUAUUGCUUGAGUUUAUUCCUCUACAUCAUGUCAUCUUACUUAAUGUGUUACUCUGUUCUUCAUGAACUUAAUACUCUAGAUGGAGGCAGGAGUCGGUCGAUGUGUGGAGUAAUAGUAGUAGAUGCAUAAUCAUUUCGGUCUACUUGACACGGACGUGAUGCCUAUAUUUCAUAAUCAUUGCCUUAGAUAUUGUCAUAACUAUGCGCUUUUAUAUCAAUUGCUCGAUAGUAAUUUGUUCACCCACUGUAUUAUUUGGUAUCUUGAGAGAAGCCUCUAGUGAAACCUAUGGCCCCUGGGUCUAUUUUCCAUCAUAUAAGUUUCCGAUCUACUAUUCUGCAAUCUUUUACUUUCUGUUCCAUAAACCAAAAAAACCUAAAAAUAUUUACUUUAUCGUUUGAUUAGUUUCAUCUAUCUUUAUGAGUCUCACUUUUGCAAGUAACCGUGAAGGGAUUGACAACCCCUUUAUCGCGUUGGGUGCAAGUUUCUUGAUUGUUUGUGCAGGUAUUGGUGAUUUGUGCGUUGUCUCCUACUAGAUUGAUACCUUGGUUCUCUAACUGAGGGAAAUACUUAUCUCUACUUUGCUGCAUCACCCUUUCCUCUUCAAGGGAAAAACCAACACAAGCUCAAGAAGUAGCAACAAGAAUUUCUGGCGCCAUUGCCGAGGAGAUCUAUGCCAAGUCAAGACAUACCAAGUACCCAUCAUAAACUCUCAUCUCUUGCAUUACAUUAUUCGCCAUUUGCCUCUCGUUUUCCUCUCCCCCACCUCUAAAAUGAUUUUCGAAAAGAUUUGCCUUUUUAUCCGCCCUUCUUUCCGUUCGAUCUUUUGUUUGCUUGUGUUACCAUGUGCCUUCUUUUUGCUUGCAUCUUUGCUUGCUAAAAGUUUAUGGAUCCUCAUCCACUUGCUAAUCUUUUUUAGAGAUCCAACUAUGAUGAACCAAUUGCUAGUGAGUUGAGUGCACUAGAUUAUCUUUAUGAUGUUUUGCUUGAAAUCCGUGAAUCUGAAAAUUGUGAUGAAGUGCUUUAUGAAGUGAUUCACGAUAGAUCUUUGAAUAAAAAGCAUGACUACAAUGAUGUUAUUAUAAAUUCUAUUAAUUUCAUUUGUGCUAAUGAUAUGCAAAACCCUAAGCUUGGGGAUGCUAAUUUUGCUAUGUCCACUACUUGUUGCAAUGAUCAUGAUUGGGGUGAUUUUUCCUAUGAUCUUGAAAAUUUAUUUGACCCUCAUGAUGAAUAUGUUUGCAAUAAUAUUGAAAGUGGGUUUGGAAGAGUGUCAACUCUAGGUAAUAACGAUCCCACUACCUUGGAGUAUGGUCAAUCUUAUGAGAUUUUUGAUAAAGGUGGGUUUGGAGAGGUCAUGACUUUAGUUAAUGUUAAUCCCACUAUUUUGCAAGAGUGUCAACUUCGCAUGCAUGUGGAUCAUGUUGAGAAUAUGUUAUGUGAUAGCUAUAUUGUUGAAUUUGCUUAUGAUCCUACAUGUAAUUAUUAUGAGAGAGGAAAAUAUGGUUGUAGAAACUUUCAUGUUACUAAAUUACCUCUCUCUAUGUUGAGAUUGCUAUUGUUUCUUUCUUCUUCCUUGCAUAUGCUAGUUUUUGCUUGCCUUGAAGAUUUGUUUUCUUAUAAAAUGCCUAUGCAUAGGAAGUAUGUUAGACUUAAAUAUGUUUUUCACAUGUUUUAUGAUGCUCUCUUUGUGUUUCAAUUAUUAUCUUUUAUGUGAGCAUCAUUGAAAUCUUAAUGCCUAGCUAAAAAGGCUUUAAAGAAUAGUGCUUGUUGGGAGGCAACCCAAUUUUAUUUCUAUAUUUUUUGUUUUGCUACUGUUCUUGAAUAAAUUACACAUUAUUACCUCUGUAGUAAUUGUGUUUUGGUGUUUCAAUUAGUGUUUGUGCCAAGUAAGACCUUUGGAAUAGCUUACGGUGAUAGUUGAUUUGAUCUUGCUGAAAAACAAUAACUUUUGUGCUUAGUCCUAGAAUUGUUAAAAAUCACAGAGGCCCGAUAAAAUACUGAUUCUUUUUGAAGAAGAUUGAUAUACAAAUUGCCCCUGUUGUUCUAAUUUUUCAGAAUUUUUGGAGUUACAGAAGUAUUCGAAGUUUACAGAUUGCUACAGACUAUUCUGUUUUUGACAGAUUCUGUUUUCUUUGUGUUGUUUGCUUAUUUUGAUGAAUCUAUGAGUAGUAUCGGGGGGUAUGAACCAUGGAGAAGUUAGAAUACAAUAGAUAUUACACCAAUAUAAAUAAAGAAUGAGUUCACAAUAGUACCAACAGUGGCGAUUUAUUUUCUUAUACUAACGGAGCUUAUGAGAUUUUCUGUUGAGUUUUGUGUUGUGAAGUUUUCAAGUUUUGGGUAAGGAUUUGACGGACUAUGGAAUAAGGACUGACAAGAGCCUAAGCUUGGGGACGCCCAAGGCACCCCAAGGUAAUAUUCAAGGACAACCAAGACCCUAAUUAAGCUUGGGGAUGGCCCGAAAGGCAUCCCCUCUUUCGUCUUCGUCUAUCGGUAACUUUACUUGAGGCUAUAUUUUUAUUCACCACAUGAUAUGUGUUUUGCUUGGAGCGUCGUGUAUGAUUUGAGUCUUCGCUUUUUAGUUUGCCACAAUCAUCCUUGCUGUACAGACCUUUUGAGAGGGACACGCAUGAAUCAUGAUUUAUUAGAAUACUAUAUGUGUUUCAUUUAUAUCUUUUGAGCUAGGCAAUUUCGCUCUAGUGCUUCACUUAUAUCUUUUUAGAGCACGGUGAUGGCUUUAUUUUGUAGAAAUUAUUGAACUCUCAUGCUUCACUUAUAUUAUUUUGAGAGUCUUUAAACAACAUGGUAAUUUGCUUUGGUUAUGAAUUUAGUCCUAAUAUGAUAGACAUCCAAGAGGGAUAUAAUAAAAACUUUCAUAUAAAGUGCAUUGAAUACUAUGAGAAGUUUGAUUCCUUAUGAUUGUUUUGAGAUAUAAAGAUGGUGAUAUUAGAGUCAUGCUAGUGAGUAAUUGUGAAUUGGAGAAAUACUUGUGUUAAGGUUUGUGAGUCCCGUAGCAUGCACGUAUGGUGAACCGUUAUGUAACGAAGUCGGAGCAUGAGGUAUUUUUUAUUGCCAUCCUUUGUGUGGAGGUCGGGAUCACGUGAUGGUUAACUCCUACUAACCCUUCCCCUAGGAGCAUGCGCGUAGUACUUUGUUUCGAUGACUAAUAGAUUUUUUCAAUAAGUAUGUGAGUUCUUUAUGACUAAUGUUGAGUCCAUGGAUUAUACACACUCUCACCCUUCCACCUUUGCUAGCCUCUCUAGUGCCGCGCAACUUUCGCCGGUACCAUACACCCACCACAUACCUUCCUCAAAACAGCCACCAUACCAACCUAUUAUGGCAUUUCCAUAGCCAUUCCGAGAUAUAUUGCCAUGCAACUUUCCACCGUUCCGUUUUAUUAUGACACGUUCCAUCAUUGUCAUAUUGCUUUGCAUGAUCAUGUAGUUGACAUCGUAUUUGUGGCAAAGCCACCUUUCAAAAAAAAAUCAUACAUGUCACUCUUGAGUCAUUGCACAUCCCGGUACACCGCCGGAGGCAUUCAUAUAGAGUCAUAUUUUGUUCUAAGUAUCGAGUUGUAAUUUUUUGAGUUGUAAGUAAAUAAAAGUGUGAUAAUCUUCA